ACCUCUGCCUCCCAUCAGGGGUGAAUAAGGCGGAAGCUGAGGGGACAGUCACAGCCAGGACAGGAAUGUCACCCCCAGCUGGCAGACAGCACUCUGAGCAGCCAGGCCUGGGAUCCUCUGACCUGCCCACUUCAGGAGGCCAGUGUGGUCACUGCCACCCCACGGUCUGGGGACCCUGGACUCCAAACUUGUAAGUGCUAGAGUGGGCAGCUGGAGGCCAUCUGGGCACUUUAAAACACAGAAGCCAGCUUCCUGGCAGUUUGAAGUGUGCUUCUCACACAUCUUCCACCAGCUUGUUUGUCUGCCUAUAUCUGAGGAUCCUUUAAAGCGAUUGAAACAAAAUUAAGGGCAGAAUGAAUCUUUGGUGAUGAAAGUGAGAAUCUGGGAGAGAUGUGAAAACUGGAAGAGAAACAGGAAGUACCUCCAGGAUUCACCUAAAUAGAUGCUGCGGUUUCUAUCAAACCACAGGCCACCCCAGCAUCUCAGUGGCUUCUAUAGGUUGUCCUGAAAGAGCCAUGAGGCCAGGGCCCUUGAUGGAUUCCCAGAUACCAGCUGCUCCUCCAGACACCAAUUCCACCCUCCACCUUUCUGUGUCCGUCCCAGACCAAGGCAGCCCAGGAAACUCUCUAGGAGGUGUGUCUCCAGGAUAGAGGGCCAGUGGAGAAUGGCAGCCCACACUGUUAUGGGAUGAAGUGUGUCCCCCAAAAUCAACAUGUUGAAGCUCUAACCCCCAGAACCCCGGAAUAAAACUAUAUUUGGAGUUAAGAUCUUUAAAGAGGUAAUUAUGUCCUAAUGAGUUAUUUAGGGCAGACCCUAAUCCAAUAGGACUGGUAUCCUUCUAAGAAGAGGAAGGCACAUCAGAGGAGAGGCCAUGUGAGGACACCAUGGGAAGGCGGCCACCUGCAAGCCAAGGAGAGGGGCCUCAGGAGAAACCAGCCCUGCUGACACCCUGAGCUCCUUGCAAUUCCAGCCUCCUAGACUGUGAGAAAAUACACUUGUGUUAUUUAAGCCCCCCAGUCUGUGGUUCUUUGCUGUGGCAGCCCUAAGAAUCUAAUACACAUGCCAACCUGUCUAGGCACAGAUGGCCCAUCUUCAGGGAAAGGAUGCAGGGGGAUCUGCAGGCCUGCCGGGGCUGAACCAGGAAGUUGUGCCCUCAGCAGUGGAGGCAGCCUCUCCCAACCCCAAGCCUCCAGCCCCUCCCCUCGUGACAUGCAUGUUCUGAGUUCAGUCUGUUUCCAAGCUCCUUCCCGUGCCUGUGGAGUCAAUGUCACCCCCAGUCUCAGGGUAUCCUUGCACUGAUACGCUCCACUACACCCUCACACCCACCCCGUGGCUUCCUGAACUGCACCCCCAAGUGAACCACUCUGCAUCUGGCUUCUCCAUCAACCACGUGCCCUGGAGUCCCUCUGAGCUGUCCAUGUGGGCAGCCUCCUUUUGAAGCCUGGAGUGGGUGAGUGUUGAGCAAAAGGUGAUGGCAGGGGCUAGAGCUCAUUUCAUUCCUGAGUAAGGGAAGCUCUAAGAUUCCUUCUGUACCAUAAGUGAGUGCUGCCCUGCCUGGGAGGGUGCACACCCUGCCCUGAGACUACUGCCUCAGAGCAUGGGCAGCUGGUCAACCUAGGCAUUGCCCAUGCCUCCCACAUGGGUGGGGGGCAGCCCCACCGCCCCUCUGUUCAUCUUCCAUUGACCUGUGGAGUCUCAGAGAUCUGUCUUGAUUUUUUUUAGACAGUCUUGCUCUGUCACCCUGGAGUACAGCGGUGCAAUCUCUGCUCAUUGCAACCUCUUCCUCCCAGGUUCAAGUGAUUAUCGUGCGCCAGCCUUCCAAUUAGCUGGGAUCACAAGCAUGCACCACCAUGCCCUGCUAAUUUUUGUAUUUUUAGUAGAGACAGGGUUUCGCCAUGUUGGCCAGGGUGGUCUCAAACUCCUAACCUCAAGUGAUCCACCUGCCUCGGCCUCCCAAAGUGCUGGGAUUGCAGGUGUGAGCCACCACACCCAACCUGUCUUGAUUUAAUAGUCAUUCAAGGUGCUCAUUUCUUGACUGAAUGACUACAAGAGCAGAUAUAAAUGAACACAUGCAAUCAGUCUUGCCCUGGGUCUGAAGUAGGAUUCUCAGCACCAGCGACAUUUGCACUGGAUCAUUCUCUGCGGUGGCACUAGCCUCUGCCCUGCAGGACGUUUAGCAGUACCCCUGGACCCCACCCACUAGACGCCAGCAACAGUUCCCUGCCCCAGUUGUGACAACCAAAAAUGUCCUCGGACAUUACUCCAAGCACCAAGGUUGGGAACCGCUGUUCUCAAGGUUUCCAAAUGCAUCUCACGCCAUAGGUCUAUGCACAGAAUAAAUGAAUCAUUCACUGUUGACCAAUGAAGGCUUUGUUUGGAGACAGGUGUUAUAACAGCAGGAAGAAAACUCCCCAAAGGAAAAGUGUGCUAUCAGCUGAAGCAUCUCCCAAGUCCAGCUCUGCACCCCCACGUGCAUCCCCACACGAACGUGUUGCCAGGAAUCAACCGAACCCCUGUUUCUCUCGCAGAAAAUUGGUGGGAGCAAUCCUCGCUUGCGUGUCAGGAUGCCUGUCCAGGUGAAGCCAGCAUGAGUCUCUCCAGAUUCUAAGGCAGUGAUGGGAAAGUGAAGGAAGCAGAAAUGGCCAAGGGCCAUCCUCUGUCAGUAAUUCACUCUGUCAGCCCUCCCUAAGCCGGGUGGUGGGUGUUAUGCAUCAGGACGCCGGGCUCUGGUGGGGUAAUGAGAGGGACUCAUAAGUGGCCAAGCUGUGACUCAAACCUGGCAGGACUCCCACUGGCUUCACUCUGCCCUCUUAAAUUCUACAAUUAGAGCUCCCCAGGAGAGAGCAACCCAUUGACUUAAAUGUUCACUCACCUGUAAACAGGUGACAUGAGAUUUUCUCCCAUUCGUGGGUUUCCUGAUGUCAGGAUGGAGCACAGAGCAGGGGCCGUCGGGCACCUAUAGGCUGAAGGGAACCCUGGGUAGAGGAUAGUGUACGUUUGUUUCAUGAUGUUGCCAGGAGCUGGCCCUUUGCUGUAAACCAGGUCCUGUUUUGAGCGUGCUGGGAAGUUCAGAAGCAGAGUUCCAUAGACACUUCUGAGAUGCACAGGCACCUCUCCUGCCUAAUGUGGCCAGGAAAAAUUGCCCUGAUAAAGCCAAUGACAUCAUAGAUUAGAACCUGAGGAACCCGCAGCCUAGUAGUUCCCGAUCUUGCUGCCUAUUAACAUCACGGGGACGCCUUUCAGAGCUCCCCAGGUGAUGUUAAUGGCAGCAAAAUCAAGAACCACUGUGAAUAGGCAGCAAUCGAUGUCCAGGCCACUCCCCACCAACUAAAUCAGGGUCUCCAGGAUGGGCUCAUGCCUCCACGGUUCCUGGUUCCCCAGGUGCAACUGCGACCUCCCUCAGUGAUCCAGUGUGGGCUUCUCACACUUUAAUGCACAUCUGAACGAAUCGGGGCUCUUGUGAAAAUUUGAAUUCUGGCUCAAGAGGCUGGGAUGAGCCUGAGAUUCUGCUAGGAGCUAGGAAAAGUGUGAUCCAGAGCUAGGAAAAGUGUGAUCUUGGAUGCUUGUCAUCUGGGAGCUUGUUAGAGGUGCAGGAUCUCAGGCCCCACCCAGAACCUAAGGAUCAGAAUCUACAUUUGAAUAAGGUGCAGGUUUGUUGAAUAUACGUCCCUAGUUUGAGACAACCUGCUACAACCUGAAGCCUCUAUUUGCUCAUGAGCAAGUGAGGGCCAGAGAGAUGGAGCCCUGGACCCCACAGCUACUCAAUGCAAAAAGCUUUAGUAACUGUGCUUGCUGUAACCCACGCGUCUUCUUCCCACCAUUGCUAGCCUCACUAAAGAUUGCAUUUGUUUCUCUGACAAUGAUGACUUCAGGCAAUGUAUAAAACUUGCUCCUCCUGUUAACAUUUAAUUCAGGCGUGAAACCAAACAAACCCAAAAAUGGAGGAAGGAAAGAGAAGAAAUGGGGCUAAAAAAGAUCUAAAAAUGGGACAGAAGCAAGGUGCCUUUUUCAUCUUCUCUUUGAUUAAAAAAGGUCUGUUAGCUCGAAGCCCACAGGUAUGUGACUCAGUGCAGACGAGGGGAAACUCCGUGGGAAGUUUUGGAUCUUUCCUAUUAGAAGAAUCAGGAAUUUAGCCCAGCUCAGGGAAAACAUAUGAGCUUCCUUUGACUCUCCCAGGAUGAGCUAGUUUCAGUAUCAUGGUGAAAAAAUAAAAUAAUACAAAGGCGUUCACCAAAAGGAAGUGCUGUUUCCUCUAUUUCUGAACCCUCAGAGAGCUAAAAUGAUGCUGAUGAGUCAGAAGCUAGCGCCCCUGAAGGAGCCACCAAAGGAAGAUACUGAGCUUUUAAUGUUUCCUUAAAGGGCAGCCCUAACCCCUCCCAGUGCGGAGCUGAUUUUUGGAAAUAGCCAGAAGUGGUUUCAAGUCACAUCAGGUGAUUGAGGUGGGUGACCAAACUCAGCACGAUGUUAGAAACAAAUCCAAAUGUGACAAUAAGUGGCACUCCUUGUUUAUUUAUUUUGAGACAGUGGUCUCGCUCUGUCACCCCCCUGGAGUGCAGUGGCAUGAUCAUGGCUCACUGCAGCCUCCACGUCCCAGGCUCAAGCCAUCCUCCCACCUCAGUUUCCCAAGUAACUGGGACUAUAGGCAUGUGCCACCAUGCCCAGCUAAUUUUUUUAUUAUUUAUUUUUUGUAGAGACGAGGUCUCACUAUGCCGCCCAGGCUGGUCUCAAACUCCUAGAUUCAAGUGAUCCUCCCACCUCGGCCUCCCAAAGUGCUGGGAUUACAGGCAUGGGCCACUGCACCGGCCCUGGUUUCUUCAUGUGGGAUGUCACCCGGCUCUAAAAGGCAGUUUCUUAUAAAAGUCCCAGCUGCAGCUUGAGCAGGAAUAGCUGCAUGGACAACAGAGUGGAGCUUCUCAACCUCCUUUGAAGGGCAAAAGUGGGUCUGAUGGGCUGUUCGAAGCGGGUCCCUGAGGGUCGCAUUCCUUGCAUCCAACUCCCACCUCCUUCCUUCCUUCCCCUCCCUCCCUCGUCUUUCUUUCUUUCUUUCCUUCUUUUCUUUCUUUCUUUCUUCUUUCUUUCUCUCUCUCUCUGUCUCUCUCUCUUUCUUUUUCUUAACAAGCUCAGGCAAAUUUUAUUAAAGGAAAAUUUUGCAUGGUUUGCUUUUCACCAAUCUGUUCUGGCAUGCUUCUAAUGAUGUCAGAAUCACCUAGAUCAAUGAUAGCCGGUGUGCCCACUCUGUAAUAUUUUCCGCAUGCUGUGCCCAGUUCAAUAUUAUUGCCACCGUAGUGAUGGACACCAGUUUUGGCCAACAUUCCAUAGCUGGGUGGUUGUUAGUGAGAAUGAUCAAUUUUGCUUUGCCUUGUCUAAUCAUCUUCAGAGUCUGCUUGUACCCCAGCUCAUACUUUCCACUUUUCAUAAUGAGUUGGAACCUACAGUUGAUCGACUCCAGGAGCUUUUUCUUCUUCUUUGCAGCCACCAAAUUCCCGCCUUAGCUGCAGGACGGACCCCAACCAAGAGCAGCCGCUAAGAUGGCCGGGGAGUGAGAAAAGCCUCAUUUCUUUAAUAAAGCUGCUGCGCUCAGCCUUGAACACCCUCCCGACCUUGGGGCUCUGCUGCCCCACGCGGAGCCCCCAUUUCAACAGAUGCAGACACCCCAAAGCCCCUUCCCAACAGCCCGAAGAGAAGCCCUCCUCUGAAGAGACAGCAGAGAAGCAGAGCCCCCUGGGACGCCCCCCAAGACCUCCACGUCUCCCCAGCACCCGGCGGGGGGGUGGUGCAUGCACUUCCCGUGGCUGCGGGAACAAACUGCCACACACAGGGAGGCUGAACACAGCAGAAGUCUAUUCCACACAGUCCUAGAAGCCAGAGGCAGUGACAUCAAGGUGCUGGACGGCCGCCCUCCCAUCGGAGGCUCUGGGAAGAAUCUGUUCCUUCCUCUUCCAGCUUCCACGACUCAGGGCAGCACCCCUGUAACCUCUGCCUCCAUGGUGAUAUCGCUUCCCCUCUUCUGUGUCAAAUGUCCCCCUGCGUCCCUCUUCACCAGAAUAAUCCCCUCAUCUCAAGUGCCUUAAUUUAAUCACACCUGCAAAGUGUUUGCCGCGUAAAGUAACAAUUACAGUUUCCAGAGAUUAAAACCUGUUAUGUUUGGAGGCCAUUAUUCUACCUACAGAGAGGGGUUGGCUUAGGACACCCAUUCUUGUUGCCGGGUAAAGCUGCCCGGGGGGCCUGGAGGAAGCCUGCUCUGUCUCUUUCAGCCCCCACAGGUACCCCAAGGGGGCCGCCACUGAGGUCCUCGGGCUCUGAUCCAAGUGUGAAGUGAGAGCAAGUUCACUCCUUUCCCUGCUGGCUCUGACACAAGUUUUCCGUGUGGCCAGGGAUGGGUGUGAGCAGCCCAGAGCAGGGGCCGGCCCA
RNAcentral lists this long non-coding RNA (6411 nucleotides) under Homo sapiens (human). RNAcentral's name for it is "HSALNT0325204". Lineage: Eukaryota; Metazoa; Chordata; Mammalia; Primates; Hominidae. The record is from RNAcentral.